This is a non-coding RNA of Pelobates cultripes (western spadefoot toad), 238 nucleotides long. The record is from the annotation of a GenBank genome assembly. Lineage: Eukaryota; Metazoa; Chordata; Amphibia; Anura; Pelobatidae.
UCCCUUCUAGUAUAAAAUCUAUUUGUGUUGUAGAGAGUCUGUUUUCACUUAUUAAAAUAUUUUUAAUGGCUGCACAUCCAAAAUUGUGAGGUAUAAUGGUGUACAAAGACUGUACAUCGCAUGUAGCUAGAAUAAAAUUGGAAUUCCACUUAAAAUUAUUUAAAAAGUUUAAAAGGGACAUUGAGUCUUGUAGAUAAGAUUAAAUUUUUUUAACUGCAGGUUGUAGGAGAGUAUCGAU